This 490-nucleotide ribosomal RNA is filed under the name uncultured bacterium. Its description in RNAcentral is "partial 16S ribosomal RNA". It matches the Rfam family "Bacterial small subunit ribosomal RNA", at positions 30 to 507 of the family's 1533-position model. The record is from RNAcentral.
AUUGAACGCUGGCGGCAGGCCUAACACAUGCAAGUCGAACGGUAACAGGAAGCAGCUUGCUGCUUUGCUGACGAGUGGCGGACGGGUGAGUAAUGUCUGGGAAGCUGCCUGAUGGAGGGGGAUAACUACUGGAAACGGUAGCUAAUACCGCAUAACGUCGCAAGACCAAAGAGGGGGACCUUCGGGCCUCUUGCCAUCGGAUGUGCCCAGAUGGGAUUAGCUAGUAGGUGGGGUAACGGCUCACCUAGGCGACGAUCCCUAGCUGGUCUGAGAGGAUGACCAGCCACACUGGAACUGAGACACGGUCCAGACUCCUACGGGAGGCAGCAGUGGGGAAUAUUGCACAAUGGGCGCAAGCCUGAUGCCGCCAUGCCGCGUGUAUGAAGAAGGCCUUCGGGUUGUAAAGUACUUUCAGCGGGGAGGAAGGGAGUAAAGUUAAUACCUUUGCUCAUUGACGUUACCCGCAGAAGAAGCACCGGCUAACUCCGUG